GACGAACGCUGGCGGCGUGCUUAACACAUGCAAGUCGUACGGUAAGGCCCUUUCGGGGGUACCCGAGUGGCGAACGGGUGAGUAACACGUGAGUAACCUGCCCACAACUUUGGGAUAACGCUAGGAAACUGGUGCUAAUACUGGAUAUGUGCUCCUGCUGCAUGGUGGGGGUUGGAAAGCUCCGGCGGUUGUGGAUGGACUCGCGGCCUAUCAGCUUGUUGGUGGGGUAGUGGCCUACCAAGGCGGCGACGGGUAGCCGGCCUGAGAGGGUGACCGGCCACAUUGGGACUGAGAUACGGCCCAGACACCUACGGGAGGCAGCAGUGGGGAAUAGUGCACAAUGGGCGCAAGCCUGAUGCAGCAACGCCGCGUGCGGGAUGACGGCCUUCGGGUUGAAAACCGCUUUCAGCAGGGACGAAGCUUUUUGUGACGGUACCUGCAGAAGAAGCACCGGCUAACUACGUG
Molecule: ribosomal RNA, 465 nt
Filed under: uncultured bacterium
Lineage: Bacteria
Description: partial 16S ribosomal RNA
Rfam family: Bacterial small subunit ribosomal RNA
Source: RNAcentral